CCUCCUUUUGCCCCUCCUUGCCCUAAUUUUAGGUAUUGUAAACAAAUCCUUUUUGCGGACACUUCUUUCUUGCCUGCGAGGAAUACGGAAGUAGAUAUUAAAAAGCAGGAAAGGGGCAUCAACCAUAUUAUUCAGAAUCUUAAAUAGAUAAAUUGCAUCGUUACAGUCUCUCCUUUCAGCAAGGCCUGACAGCUUGUGUACUUUUAAUGAAUUGCUAUAAUCUAUAUAA
RNAcentral lists this unclassified non-coding RNA (229 nucleotides) under Melitaea cinxia (Glanville fritillary). RNAcentral's name for it is "misc RNA ENSMCXG00005002653.1". The record is from RNAcentral. Lineage: Eukaryota; Metazoa; Arthropoda; Insecta; Lepidoptera; Nymphalidae.